Molecule: ribosomal RNA, 477 nt
Filed under: uncultured bacterium
Lineage: Bacteria
Description: bacterial SSU rRNA
Rfam family: Bacterial small subunit ribosomal RNA
Source: RNAcentral
AUUGAACGCUGGCGGCAUGCCUUACACAUGCAAGUCGAACGGUAACAGGUCUUCGGAUGCUGACGAGUGGCGAACGGGUGAGUAAUAUAUCGGAACGUGCCCAGUCGUGGGGGAUAACGCAGCGAAAGCUGUGCUAAUACCGCAUACGAUCUAUGGAUGAAAGCGGGGGAUCGCAAGACCUCGCGCGAUUGGAGCGGCCGAUAUCAGAUUAGGUAAUUGGUGGGGUAAAGGCCCACCAAGCCAACGAUCUGUAGCUGGUCUGAGAGGACGACCAGCCACACUGGAACUGAGACACGGUCCAGACUCCUACGGGAGGCAGCAGUGGGGAAUCUUGGACAAUGGGCGAAAGCCUGAUCCAGCGACGCCGCGUGGAGGAAGAAGUCCUUCGGGAUGUAAACUUCUGAACUAGCCGAAUAAAAGGCCUGUGGACACACAGGAGAAGAAAGUAGGCUAGGAAAAGUCCCGGCUAACUACGUG